CGCUGGCGGAAUGCUUUACACAUGCAAGUCGAACGGUAGAGGGGGCAACCCUUGAGAGUGGCGAACGGGUGAGUAAUAUAUCGGAACGUGCCCAGUCGUGGGGGAUAACGUAGCGAAAGUUACGCUAAUACCGCAUACGAUCUAUGGAUGAAAGCGGGGGAUCGCAAGACCUCGCGCGAUUGGAGCGGCCGAUAUCAGAUUAGGUAGUUGGUGAGGUAAAGGCUCACCAAGCCGACGAUCUGUAGCUGGUCUGAGAGGACGACCAGCCACACUGGGACUGAGACACGGCCCAGACUCCUACGGGAGGCAGCAGUGGGGAAUAUUGGACAAUGGGCGCAAGCCUGAUCCAGCCAUGCCGCGUGCAGGAUGACGGUCCUAUGGAUUGUAAACUGCUUUUGUACAGGAAGAAACACUCCCUCGUGAGGGAGCUUGACGGUACCGUAAGAAUAAGCACCGGCUAACUACGUG
RNAcentral lists this ribosomal RNA (468 nucleotides) under uncultured bacterium. RNAcentral's name for it is "bacterial SSU rRNA". It matches the Rfam family "Bacterial small subunit ribosomal RNA", at positions 34 to 507 of the family's 1533-position model. The record is from RNAcentral.